RNAcentral lists this ribosomal RNA (305 nucleotides) under uncultured Synechococcus sp. Its description in RNAcentral is "bacterial SSU rRNA". It matches the Rfam family "Bacterial small subunit ribosomal RNA", at positions 442 to 762 of the family's 1533-position model. The record is from RNAcentral. Lineage: Bacteria; Bacillati; Cyanobacteriota; Cyanophyceae; Synechococcales; Synechococcaceae.
AGGAAGAAGAUCUGACGGUACUUGAGGAAUAAGCCACGGCUAAUUCCGUGCCAGCAGCCGCGGUAAUACGGGAGUGGCAAGCGUUAUCCGGAAUUAUUGGGCGUAAAGCGUCCGCAGGCGGCCUUUCAAGUCUGCUGUUAAAACGUGGAGCUUAACUCCAUCAUGGCAGUGGAAACUGUUGGGCUUGAGUGUGGUAGGGGCAAAGGGAAUUCCCGGUGAAGCGGUGAAAUGCGUAGAUAUUGGAAAGAACACCAGUGGCGAAGGCCCUCUACUGGGCCAUAACUGACCCUCAAGGACAAAAGCUA